This is a long non-coding RNA of Ornithodoros turicata, 257 nucleotides long. RefSeq lists it as uncharacterized. The record is from RefSeq and is a predicted model, not a curated record. The transcript has 3 exons. NCBI's taxonomy places the organism in Eukaryota, Metazoa, Arthropoda, Arachnida, Ixodida, Argasidae.
UCAGCUAAGUGUACUCGUGACCCUACCAGCACUUUUCAAGAUACUUUCGACGUAUUCAUUGCGGUGAACAACGCGGUUGGGACAGCACACUCACGACGUGGGAAGGUCACAGAAAUGUUGAAAGACAUCAGAUUGGGCAUACGCUUCACCCGUGCAACUUCGUCAUGUGCUCCACGGCUUUACGGCUGUGCCACUGUAUGUAAAAAAUGCUGAGUGAUUUUAAUAAAGAAUUUGCAGGGAAGUACAAUGUGUCGCAC